RNAcentral lists this ribosomal RNA (613 nucleotides) under uncultured bacterium. RNAcentral describes it as "bacterial SSU rRNA". It matches the Rfam family "Bacterial small subunit ribosomal RNA", at positions 338 to 945 of the family's 1533-position model. The record is from RNAcentral.
CCUACGGGAGGCAGCAGUAGGGAAUCUUCCGCAAUGGACGAAAGUCUGACGGAGCAACGCCGCGUGAACGAUGAAGGCCUUCGGGUCGUAAAGUUCUGUUGUUAGGGAAGAACAAGUGCUAGUUAAAUAAGCUGGCACCUUGACGGUACCUAACCAGAAAGCCACGGCUAACUACGUGCCAGCAGCCGCGGUAAUACGUAGGUGGCAAGCGUUGUCCGGAAUUAUUGGGCGUAAAGCGCGCGCAGGCGGUUUCUUAAGUCUGAUGUGAAAGCCCCCGGCUCAACCGGGGAGGGUCAUUGGAAACUGGGAAACUUGAGUGCAGAAGAGGAAAGUGGAAUUCCAAGUGUAGCGGUGAAAUGCGUAGAGAUUUGGAGGAACACCAGUGGCGAAGGCGACUUUCUGGUCUGUAACUGACGCUGAGGCGCGAAAGCGUGGGGAGCAAACAGGAUUAGAUACCCUGGUAGUCCACGCUGUAAACGAUGAGUGCUAAGUGUUAGAGGGUUUCCGCCUUUAGUGCUGAAGUUAACGCAUUAAGCACUCCGCCUGGGGAGUCGGUCGCAAGCUGAAACUUAAUGAAUUGNGNGUUGAGAGNGCGAGCGACGACGAGGAGAGG